Nothobranchius furzeri (turquoise killifish) is the source of this 5913-nucleotide long non-coding RNA. NCBI's taxonomy places the organism in Eukaryota, Metazoa, Chordata, Actinopteri, Cyprinodontiformes, Nothobranchiidae. The record is from Ensembl.
AUGACCUGGAUGACUGAGGACCUUCAGCAACAUUUAUGCUCUGUUCUGGUUUGUUUCGAUCUAUGCGAAGCACUUUGUGAUCUUCUAUCUGUAAUGACUCAACUCCACUUUAUUUGUACAGUGUUUUACAGCAACAGCGCUUUACAGCAACAGUGCAUGCCACCAAGGCGCUUUACAGCAACAGCGCAUGCCGUCAAGGCGCUUUACAGCAACAGCGCAUGCCACCAAGGCGCUUUACAGCAACAGCGCAUGCCACCAAGGCGCUUUACAGCAACAGCGCAUGCCACCAAGGCGCUUUACAGCAACAGCGCAUGCCACCAAGGCGCUUUACAGCAACAGCGCAUGCCACCAAGGCGCUUUACAGCAACAGCGCAUGCCACCAAGGCGCUUUACAGCAACAGCGCAUGCCACCAAGGCGCUUUACAGCAACAGCGCAUGCCACCAAGGCGCUUUACAGCAACAGCGCAUGCCACCAAGGCGCUUUACAGCAACAGCGCAUGCCACCAAGGCGCUUUACAGCAACAGCGCAUGCCACCAAGGCGCUUUACAGCAACAGCGCAUGCCACCAAGGCGCUUUACAGCAACAGCGCAUGCCACCAAGGCGCUUUACAGCAACAGCGCAUGCCACCAAGGCGCUUUACAGCAACAGCGCAUGCCACCAAGGCGCUUUACAGCAACAGCGCAUGCCACCAAGGCGCUUUACAGCAACAGCGCAUGCCACCAAGGCGCUUUACAGCAACAGCGCAUGCCACCAAGGCGCUUUACAGCAACAGCGCAUGCCACCAAGGCGCUUUACAGCAACAGCGCAUGCCACCAAGGCGCUUUACAGCAACAGCGCAUGCCACCAAGGCGCUUUACAGCAACAGCGCAUGCCACCAAGGCGCUUUACAGCAACAGCGCAUGCCACCAAGGCGCUUUACAGCAACAGCGCAUGCCACCAAGGCGCUUUACAGCAACAGCGCAUGCCACCAAGGCGCUUUACAGCAACAGCGCAUGCCACCAAGGCGCUUUACAGCAACAGCGCAUGCCACCAAGGCGCUUUACAGCAACAGCGCAUGCCGUCAAGGCGCUUUACAGCAACAGCGCAUGCCACCAAGGCGCUUUACAGCAACAGCGCAUGCCGUCAAGGCGCUUUACAGCAACAGCGCAUGCCACCAAGGCGCUUUACAGCAACAGCGCAUGCCGUCAAGGCGCUUUACAGCAACAGCGCAUGCCACCAAGGCGCUUUACAGCAACAGCGCAUGCCGUCAAGGCGCUUUACAGCAACAGCGCAUGCCACCAAGGCGCUUUACAGCAACAGCGCAUGCCGUCAAGGCGCUUUACAGCAACAGCGCAUGCCACCAAGGCGCUUUACAGCAACAGCGCAUGCCGUCAAGGCGCUUUACAGCAACAGCGCAUGCCACCAAGGCGCUUUACAGCAACAGCGCAUGCCGUCAAGGCGCUUUACAGCAACAGCGCAUGCCACCAAGGCGCUUUACAGCAACAGCGCAUGCCGUCAAGGCGCUUUACAGCAACAGCGCAUGCCACCAAGGCGCUUUACAGCAACAGCGCAUGCCGUCAAGGCGCUUUACAGCAACAGCGCAUGCCACCAAGGCGCUUUACAGCAACAGCGCAUGCCGUCAAGGCGCUUUACAGCAACAGCGCAUGCCACCAAGGCGCUUUACAGCAACAGCGCAUGCCGUCAAGGCGCUUUACAGCAACAGCGCAUGCCACCAAGGCGCUUUACAGCAACAGCGCAUGCCGUCAAGGCGCUUUACAGCAACAGCGCAUGCCACCAAGGCGCUUUACAGCAACAGCGCAUGCCGUCAAGGCGCUUUACAGCAACAGCGCAUGCCACCAAGGCGCUUUACAGCAACAGCGCAUGCCGUCAAGGCGCUUUACAGCAACAGCGCAUGCCACCAAGGCGCUUUACAGCAACAGCGCAUGCCGUCAAGGCGCUUUACAGCAACAGCGCAUGCCACCAAGGCGCUUUACAGCAACAGCGCAUGCCGUCAAGGCGCUUUACAGCAACAGCGCAUGCCACCAAGGCGCUUUACAGCAACAGCGCAUGCCGUCAAGGCGCUUUACAGCAACAGCGCAUGCCACCAAGGCGCUUUACAGCAACAGCGCAUGCCGUCAAGGCGCUUUACAGCAACAGCGCAUGCCACCAAGGCGCUUUACAGCAACAGCGCAUGCCGUCAAGGCGCUUUACAGCAACAGCGCAUGCCACCAAGGCGCUUUACAGCAACAGCGCAUGCCGUCAAGGCGCUUUACAGCAACAGCGCAUGCCACCAAGGCGCUUUACAGCAACAGCGCAUGCCGUCAAGGCGCUUUACAGCAACAGCGCAUGCCACCAAGGCGCUUUACAGCAACAGCGCAUGCCGUCAAGGCGCUUUACAGCAACAGCGCAUGCCACCAAGGCGCUUUACAGCAACAGCGCAUGCCGUCAAGGCGCUUUACAGCAACAGCGCAUGCCACCAAGGCGCUUUACAGCAACAGCGCAUGCCGUCAAGGCGCUUUACAGCAACAGCGCAUGCCACCAAGGCGCUUUACAGCAACAGCGCAUGCCGUCAAGGCGCUUUACAGCAACAGCGCAUGCCACCAAGGCGCUUUACAGCAACAGCGCAUGCCGUCAAGGCGCUUUACAGCAACAGCGCAUGCCACCAAGGCGCUUUACAGCAACAGCGCAUGCCGUCAAGGCGCUUUACAGCAACAGCGCAUGCCACCAAGGCGCUUUACAGCAACAGCGCAUGCCGUCAAGGCGCUUUACAGCAACAGCGCAUGCCACCAAGGCGCUUUACAGCAACAGCGCAUGCCGUCAAGGCGCUUUACAGCAACAGCGCAUGCCACCAAGGCGCUUUACAGCAACAGCGCAUGCCGUCAAGGCGCUUUACAGCAACAGCGCAUGCCACCAAGGCGCUUUACAGCAACAGCGCAUGCCGUCAAGGCGCUUUACAGCAACAGCGCAUGCCACCAAGGCGCUUUACAGCAACAGCGCAUGCCGUCAAGGCGCUUUACAGCAACAGCGCAUGCCACCAAGGCGCUUUACAGCAACAGCGCAUGCCGUCAAGGCGCUUUACAGCAACAGCGCAUGCCACCAAGGCGCUUUACAGCAACAGCGCAUGCCGUCAAGGCGCUUUACAGCAACAGCGCAUGCCACCAAGGCGCUUUACAGCAACAGCGCAUGCCGUCAAGGCGCUUUACAGCAACAGCGCAUGCCACCAAGGCGCUUUACAGCAACAGCGCAUGCCGUCAAGGCGCUUUACAGCAACAGCGCAUGCCACCAAGGCGCUUUACAGCAACAGCGCAUGCCGUCAAGGCGCUUUACAGCAACAGCGCAUGCCACCAAGGCGCUUUACAGCAACAGCGCAUGCCGUCAAGGCGCUUUACAGCAACAGCGCAUGCCACCAAGGCGCUUUACAGCAACAGCGCAUGCCGUCAAGGCGCUUUACAGCAACAGCGCAUGCCACCAAGGCGCUUUACAGCAACAGCGCAUGCCGUCAAGGCGCUUUACAGCAACAGCGCAUGCCACCAAGGCGCUUUACAGCAACAGCGCAUGCCGUCAAGGCGCUUUACAGCAACAGCGCAUGCCACCAAGGCGCUUUACAGCAACAGCGCAUGCCGUCAAGGCGCUUUACAGCAACAGCGCAUGCCACCAAGGCGCUUUACAGCAACAGCGCAUGCCGUCAAGGCGCUUUACAGCAACAGCGCAUGCCACCAAGGCGCUUUACAGCAACAGCGCAUGCCGUCAAGGCGCUUUACAGCAACAGCGCAUGCCACCAAGGCGCUUUACAGCAACAGCGCAUGCCGUCAAGGCGCUUUACAGCAACAGCGCAUGCCACCAAGGCGCUUUACAGCAACAGCGCAUGCCGUCAAGGCGCUUUACAGCAACAGCGCAUGCCACCAAGGCGCUUUACAGCAACAGCGCAUGCCGUCAAGGCGCUUUACAGCAACAGCGCAUGCCACCAAGGCGCUUUACAGCAACAGCGCAUGCCGUCAAGGCGCUUUACAGCAACAGCGCAUGCCACCAAGGCGCUUUACAGCAACAGCGCAUGCCGUCAAGGCGCUUUACAGCAACAGCGCAUGCCACCAAGGCGCUUUACAGCAACAGCGCAUGCCGUCAAGGCGCUUUACAGCAACAGCGCAUGCCACCAAGGCGCUUUACAGCAACAGCGCAUGCCGUCAAGGCGCUUUACAGCAACAGCGCAUGCCACCAAGGCGCUUUACAGCAACAGCGCAUGCCGUCAAGGCGCUUUACAGCAACAGCGCAUGCCACCAAGGCGCUUUACAGCAACAGCGCAUGCCGUCAAGGCGCUUUACAGCAACAGCGCAUGCCACCAAGGCGCUUUACAGCAACAGCGCAUGCCGUCAAGGCGCUUUACAGCAACAGCGCAUGCCACCAAGGCGCUUUACAGCAACAGCGCAUGCCGUCAAGGCGCUUUACAGCAACAGCGCAUGCCACCAAGGCGCUUUACAGCAACAGCGCAUGCCGUCAAGGCGCUUUACAGCAACAGCGCAUGCCACCAAGGCGCUUUACAGCAACAGCGCAUGCCGUCAAGGCGCUUUACAGCAACAGCGCAUGCCACCAAGGCGCUUUACAGCAACAGCGCAUGCCGUCAAGGCGCUUUACAGCAACAGCGCAUGCCACCAAGGCGCUUUACAGCAACAGCGCAUGCCGUCAAGGCGCUUUACAGCAACAGCGCAUGCCACCAAGGCGCUUUACAGCAACAGCGCAUGCCGUCAAGGCGCUUUACAGCAACAGCGCAUGCCACCAAGGCGCUUUACAGCAACAGCGCAUGCCGUCAAGGCGCUUUACAGCAACAGCGCAUGCCACCAAGGCGCUUUACAGCAACAGCGCAUGCCGUCAAGGCGCUUUACAGCAACAGCGCAUGCCACCAAGGCGCUUUACAGCAACAGCGCAUGCCGUCAAGGCGCUUUACAGCAACAGCGCAUGCCACCAAGGCGCUUUACAGCAACAGCGCAUGCCGUCAAGGCGCUUUACAGCAACAGCGCAUGCCACCAAGGCGCUUUACAGCAACAGCGCAUGCCGUCAAGGCGCUUUACAGCAACAGCGCAUGCCACCAAGGCGCUUUACAGCAACAGCGCAUGCCGUCAAGGCGCUUUACAGCAACAGCGCAUGCCACCAAGGCGCUUUACAGCAACAGCGCAUGCCGUCAAGGCGCUUUACAGCAACAGCGCAUGCCACCAAGGCGCUUUACAGCAACAGCGCAUGCCGUCAAGGCGCUUUACAGCAACAGCGCAUGCCACCAAGGCGCUUUACAGCAACAGCGCAUGCCGUCAAGGCGCUUUACAGCAACAGCGCAUGCCACCAAGGCGCUUUACAGCAACAGCGCAUGCCGUCAAGGCGCUUUACAGCAACAGCGCAUGCCACCAAGGCGCUUUACAGCAACAGCGCAUGCCGUCAAGGCGCUUUACAGCAACAGCGCAUGCCACCAAGGCGCUUUACAGCAACAGCGCAUGCCGUCAAGGCGCUUUACAGCAACAGCGCAUGCCACCAAGGCGCUUUACAGCAACAGCGCAUGCCGUCAAGGCGCUUUACAGCAACAGCGCAUGCCACCAAGGCGCUUUACAGCAACAGCGCAUGCCGUCAAGGCGCUUUACAGCAACAGCGCAUGCCACCAAGGCGCUUUACAGCAACAGCGCAUGCCGUCAAGGCGCUUUACAGCAACAGCGCAUGCCACCAAGGCGCUUUACAGCAACAGCGCAUGCCGUCAAGGCGCUUUACAGCAACAGCGCAUGCCACCAAGGCGCUUUACAGCAACAGCGCAUGCCGUCAAGGCGCUUUACAGCAACAGCGCAUGCCACCAAGGCGCUUUACAGCAACAGCGCAUGCCGUCAAGGCGCUUUACAGCAACAGCGCAUGCCACCAAGGCGCUUUACAGCAACAGCGCAUGCCGUCAAGGCACUUUAUAG